UUAGAGUUUGAUCCUGGCUCAGGAUGAAUUCUAGCGACAGGCUUAACACAUGCAAGUCGAGGGGCAGCGGGGGAGUGGCAACACUUCCGCCGGCGACCGGCGCACGGGUGAGUAACACGUAUGAAACCUGCCCGCAGCAGGGGGAUAAGCGGAAGAAAUUCCGUCUAAUACCGCGUAACAACCGACGGGGGCAUCCCUGUUGGUUCAAAGGAGCGAUCCGGCUGCGGAUGGUCAUGCGGCGCAUUAGCUAGUUGGCGGGGCAACGGCCCACCAAGGCGACGAUGCGUAGGGGUUCUGAGAGGAAGGUCCCCCACACUGGUACUGAGACACGGACCAGACUCCUACGGGAGGCAGCAGUGAGGAAUAUUGGUCAAUGGCCGAGAGGCUGAACCAGCCAAGUAGCGUGAAGGAUGACUGCCCUACGGGUUGUAAACUUCUUUUAUAAAGGAAUAAAGUGAGGCACGUGUGCCUUUUUGUAUGUACUUUAUGAAUAAGGAUCGGCUAACUCCGUGCCAGCAGCCGCGGUAAUACGGAGGAUCCGAGCGUUGUCCGGAUUUAUUGGGUUUAAAGGGAGCGUAGAUGGGUUGUUAAGUCAGUUGUGAAAGUUUGCGGCUCCACCGUAAAAUUGCAAUUGAUACUGGCAGCCUUUGAGUACAGUUGAAGUAGGCGGAAUUCGGGGUGUAACGGUGAAAAUGCUUAGAUAUCACGAAAAACUCCCAUUGCUAAAGCAGCCUACUAAACUGCCACUGACAUUGAUGCUGGAAAGGGUGGGGUAUCAAACAGGAUUAGAUACCCUGGUAGUCCACACGGUAAACGAUGAAUACUCGCUGUUUGCGAUAUACAGCAAGCGGCCAAGCGAAAGCGUUAAGUAUUCCACCUGGGGAGUACGCCGGCAACGGUGAAACUCAAAGGAAUUGACGGGGGCCCGCACAAGCGGAGGAACAUGUGGUUUAAUUCGAUGAUACGCGAGGAACCUUACCCGGGCUCAAACGGCGGAUGACAGGCGCAGAGACGCGCUUUUCCACGGACAUCCGCCGAGGUGCUGCAUGGUUGUCGUCAGCUCGUGCCGUGAGGUGUCGGCUUAAGUGCCAUAACGAGCGCAACCCCUGCCGACAGUUGCUAACAGGCAAAGCUGAGGACUCUGUCGGGACUGCCGGCGCAAGCCGUGAGGAAGGCGGGGAUGACGUCAAAUCAGCACGGCCCUUACGUCCGGGGCGACACACGUGUUACAAUGGGUGGCACAGAGGGAAGCCAGGCGGCGACGCCGAGCGGAACCCGAAAUCCACUCUCAGUUCGGAUCGGAGUCUGCAACCCGACUCCGCGAAGUUGGAUUCGCUAGUAAUCGCGCAUCAGCCAUGGCGCGGUGAAUACGUUCCCGGGCCUUGCACUCACCGCCCGUCA
This 1401-nucleotide ribosomal RNA is filed under the name uncultured bacterium. Its description in RNAcentral is "16S ribosomal RNA". It matches the Rfam family "Bacterial small subunit ribosomal RNA". The record is from RNAcentral.